AGUCCUAGUGGGUCUAUUAACUGGAAAUUUCUUCGUACGUUAUCGAUUAGUUAUGCCAAAUUGAGUGAUGAGUUGUUGAAAACCGUUUUGUUGGGUGCUCCAGUUUUGGAGUCUUUAGAGCUGUAUAAGUGUGCUGGGAUUAGGCGCUUGAAUGUUGAAUUGGCGAGUUUGAGGAAGUUAGUGGUAAAUGACAAUUGGGGUGAUCGUGGUGUGUUGGAGAUCUCUGGUCGUAAUUUGCAGUCGUUGCAGAUACUUGGGUUGUUGCAUGAGAAGCAUUGUCGGGUGAGAAAUGUAUCGGGUUUGGUUGAUGUUACCCUCAUGUUUCAGCUAUCGAGUGAUUGUGAAGUGGAGCUUGAUGGGUUUAACUAUGAAGAGUAUCAGGGGAUGUUGAGGGAAAUCCUUGAGAACCUUCCUCAUGUUAAGAAACUCAUGAUCGGGCAGUGGUGUAUUCAGGUGAGGUCUUUUCUGUUUCAACAUUGUAUUUGCAGUUAUAUAAGCUUAUCUUGACAAAUGGGCAUUCAUAUUCACUGUCUAAGAAAAAACUUGCGUAGCAAUUUGAAUCUAGGAAUUGUAGUAUAAUAUGCUGCCAACUUGUCCUUCCUCCUUCACUUACUAGAUAGGCCUCUCUCUUUUCUUGUUACCUUUUUUUCUGGAUUUUCAUGCAGUAUUAGUUUGCUAUAGAAAUCUCUGGAACUCUAAAGAUUGAAUACACAGGGUAUUUGAAUCACUUUUGAUUAUAAUAUUUGUAUAUUUUUUCAAUGACCUGAUAGCCUAAGACCCACAUCCAUUCUUAAGUUAAUGUGAAGAAAAGUUGAAUUAGUUUUAGGAGGAAGUGUUGUUCGUCUGAAGGUCAUGGGUUUGAUUUGUAGGGACAGCCUCAUAGCUUGCAAGGGGAAGGCAGCGCACAUCGACCCUUCCACAAACCCUGUAUGUGUGGGAGCUUGGUGCACUGGGUAUGCCCUUUAGUUUGUGGCCCAAUGAAAGACUUACGUGAAAUCGUGUGACUAAUUCCCAAGUAUUUUUAAUUCUUUUUGAAGACAAUCUUAUUACUAUAGGGUUGUGUAGGUGCUAGUGUUAUGUUGUAAUAUAUUUGGAAUAGAAGCCAUUUGCAUUGUUGUGGACUUACAAGCUGGUAGGAACCCUAUUGGUGAGGAGUACAAUCCAUUGGCUUGGCCAAAGUUUGGACUUGGCCUUAGGAAGAUACAUUAUUUGAUUCCAGAUUCAAAGCAAUGCUGAUUGUACCCUCUUCAAAUUCUACUAAUUCACCUGACAUUACUUCAUUAAGACCAUGAAUAUGAGCAAUACCAUCGCCUCCUUAUAUGUUUGUGCGUGAGUGGGUGCGGGUGCGUGAUAAAUCCAAAACUCGAUUCAAACGAAGCCUCGAUCCAAGGGAGUCUUAGUAUCCGGCUCCUCAACCUAUUUCUACCCAUGAGGAUAUAAGAGUCCACUGAUGGUGUUGUCAAUAUGUGAGAUGAGAGGAUUGCCUUCUCCAAUGUCAAACUGCCAUCAUUUGAUACUCGACACAUGCUUGAAUAGCUGGGACUUCCCUGGGAUAGCAAGCUUGCUACGUUGUUCGUCAGAUUUAGAGACAUUAGUGAUAGACAUUACACCGCCUCGCAGUACAAAGUUUGUGUUUGAUGUGAAAUCUUCUCGGAAGAUUGAUUAAUAUGUGGCGAAAUACCUGGAUUCAAAGAGCAUGAAUUUCGAGAAUUCUUUGCCGAGUCUCAAGACUGUUAAAGUAGUCGGCUUUAAGGCAGAGGGUGGUCGGUCCGACUUUGUGAUUGCACUUGUGGGGUUUCUGCUUAAGAAUGCAAGGGUGUUGGAGAGGAGGGUUUUCUGUGCAUUUAGGCCGGAGGACUUCCAUCCAGUGGGUCCAAGAUUUUUGAACUUCCCCAGAUCCUCAUCUUGUGCAGAGAUUAUAUUUAAAAGCUAGAAAGGUAAUCAUUUCAUGCCUCCCGGGGCAAAAAAAAAUACUACUAGAAUCACUGAUAUACUAAAAGGCCCAUUCCGGAACGUAAAAUAAGUCUUUAUUUUUUAAGAAGGCAAUUUUAAGUUAAAAAAUAAUAGAUUUAUUGAAAUCUAAAAAUAUGUAAUAUGGAUCUAAUUUGAAAUAUCUCGAUGAGAUCUUUUAUACGAUUCAAAAAAAUUUUAAAAAUUAUUUUUUAUUUACUCUAUUUUUUAGUUUGAAAAUGUGAAAUAAGUACUUAUUUUUUAUUUUUUAAGAAGGUGUUCUAGAACAGGACCUAAUUACUCCACUAAUUCUUGUAAUCUUUUCAGUUGUGUGAGGAGUAUUUGAAUUAUUGGUAAGUAAACUGUUCCUUAAUUAUCGAAAGCAUUGUUCGCAAUUAUCAGAAACAGAUCGGAGUAUAUUUGUCUUCCAAUAUAUGGGUUUCGAGGUGACAAUUUGAGUCCAGUAAUAUAUGGUUUCACC
This is an RNA transcript of Rhododendron vialii, 2431 nucleotides long. It is a transcript of the gene named putative F-box/LRR-repeat protein At3g28410, with no coding region annotated. The record is from RefSeq and is a predicted model, not a curated record. The transcript has 3 exons. Lineage: Eukaryota; Viridiplantae; Streptophyta; Magnoliopsida; Ericales; Ericaceae.